AUGUUUCACAUUUUCUUACUUGAAAUACUGUGCUUGCCUAUUCAGAUGUUCCAAGACCCAAAUCAACAGAAAAACAACACAUACAACAUUUUUUUCCUUUUAACUUUGGGUACCCUUAUACAAGCCCUUGUUCAUUUUGUUUAUAUAGUGGUUAGAAUAGUAACCAUAUGUGCUUGCUCAAUACUGAUAAAUGGAAUAUUUUCAAAGCACGUAUGGUGUGGGUCUGUUCACAAUUUGGCGCAACGGGAGAUUACUGAAAAAUACAUAUUUUUUCAACAUGACAUGGUCUUGAAAUGGGACUACUAUCAAAUUAAAAUGUGUAGGUAUAUCUCAUUGUAG
This 339-nucleotide ribosomal RNA is filed under the name Triticum aestivum (bread wheat). RNAcentral describes it as "partial small subunit ribosomal RNA". Lineage: Eukaryota; Viridiplantae; Streptophyta; Magnoliopsida; Poales; Poaceae. The record is from RNAcentral.